This 365-nucleotide ribosomal RNA is filed under the name uncultured eukaryote. Its description in RNAcentral is "partial 18S ribosomal RNA". It matches the Rfam family "Eukaryotic small subunit ribosomal RNA", at positions 592 to 975 of the family's 1831-position model. The record is from RNAcentral.
CAAUAGCGUAUAUUAACGUUGUUGCAGUUAAAAAGCUCGUAGUUGGAUUUCUGGAGGGAGCGUCGGCCCGUAUUUACGAGUGCGUGACGUCUCUGUCCAUCCUUGCGGGAAGGCACGGCAUUGAUUUGUUGUGUCGGAUCGCAUCAUUUACUGUGAAAAAAUUAGAGUGUUCAAAGCAGGCUUUCGCUUGAAUACAUUAGCAUGGAAUAAUAAGAUAGGACUUUGGUGCUAUUUUGUUGGUUGAGCCUAAAGUAAUGAUUAAUAGGGAUAGUUGGGGGCACCUGUAUUGCGUUGUCAGAGGUGAAAUUCUUGGAUUUACGCAAGACAAACAGCUGCGAAAGCAUCUGCCAAGGAUGUUUUCAUUA